GAUUAUGACGCUCGAGCGUUCCAAAUGACGCAACAAUACAGUUCCAGAACAGAGAAAGUUAAUGCCGAAGAUGUUGUUCGGUUCCACACUAAAACUGCUGUUUGACAAGUGUGAUUUGAGAAAUAAAACUUGUAGACCUUUCCUGCAGUCUCUGAGGAGAUGGACACCUCUUCUUCUUCUGGACGAUCUCCGUCUCCUACUGGGACUGUCUUCUUACCCCCUCCUAUCAUGUGGAACAGUCUCUACAAGCAGGCAGAGAUGGAGGUUCAGUUCCUGAGGGAAGAGAAGAAGACCUGUACAGAGAAGGAAGCCCACAUGCUUGAGUUGAGGGGGAAGGAUCGAACGAUCUGAAAUCAGAAGAAGGAGAUGGACAGACUUCAAGUGUGCCUCUGGGAGGAGGAAAAGAAGAAGAGGAAUGGUGGAACGGAGAAGGACGAGAUGAUUGAACAAUUACAGUCUGAGACAGACCAUCUCAGAGCCCUUUUGAAAGAUGAAAGGAGGAGAAGAAGAGUAGAAAGGGGUAUUAUGAAAGAGUGGAAGGCUGAGAUCCUGAGACUGAGGGAGGCAGAGAGCCAC
This is a long non-coding RNA of Salvelinus namaycush (lake trout), 576 nucleotides long. RefSeq lists it as uncharacterized. NCBI's taxonomy places the organism in Eukaryota, Metazoa, Chordata, Actinopteri, Salmoniformes, Salmonidae. The record is from RefSeq and is a predicted model, not a curated record. The transcript has 3 exons.